UAUGAAUGUCUGUGUGGUCCUCUCUCUCCAAUCAAAACGUGUGUAGCUUCUCGCGCCAAGCUCCGAUCGAAUCAACCUCCGAUUCUUACUCACACGUUUCAUCUUCACAACCUCAGAACAUUUCCGCAACUAUGCGCAUCGUCGCACCCAAUUUUUUCCCAAUCACCUGUUUCGUACUCAGCGUCGCUGCCCAAAGUCGAACAACUGAUCACGAUAACACAUAAAGAGAGACUCGGAAAUUAUCAACUACGAAACCCAAAAAGGAAACCUGACGGUUGAGUGUAUCAUAUCAUCUCAUUUUUCUUUCAAUCCAACGGCAGAUAUUCAACGGCCAUUGUGCCCUUCACGGUGCUUCUCUUCCUUCGCAGAGUCUAACGUAUAAAUAAACAUACUUUGAUUUUCUGGUUAUGUAGGGUUUUCUGGAAGGGAUCAUGUCAUCGAUGAUUGAAACUCUAAGGCCAAUAACGCACGCGAAAUUUCAGGCUAAUUCCACCUGUAACAUUCACUCUUCCCAUGGUUUAUGCUUUUUUCGUUACCGGUCUAGGGUUUUUCUCCACCACUUUUCGCACCGUUCUAUUCCUCAUCCGGCGUCGUUCCCUCCGGUAGUUUCUUGCAAAGCUCUUCUGCAAGGAGGUGGAGAAAGGUUGAGUGUUUGGGGAAGCGGUUUUUUAAGGAACCAGAAGAUAAGAGAGUCUAGAAUUUUGGCUAACGGUCAAGAUAGUGAUUCUACUGCAAGUUCUAGCGAGAAACGGAGCGAGAGCGAAGGCCAGAAAGUGAGUAAUAAUCCGCCGAAUUCAGGGCCCAAGCAGAGGAGAGAGAAACAAGGAAAGAGUCAAUGGUGGUGGUCGAAGAAACAGAGCUGGAAAUGGCAACCGUUGAUUCAGGCGCAGGAAAUUAGUGUCUUGCUUUUGCAAUUAGGAAUAGUUAUGUUCGUCAUGCGGUUGCUCCGCCCUGGGAUCCCUUUACCUGGGUCUGAACCGAGGCAACCGACGACUUUUAUAAGUGUGCCCUACAGUGAGUUUUUGAGCAAGAUUAAUACUAAUCAAGUGCAGAAAGUGGAGGUGGAUGGGGUGCAUAUCAUGUUCAAAUUGAAAAACGAAGGGAGUACGAAUUAUGAGAGUGGCGAAGCGGUCAAUACUAAGUUUCAGGAGUCGGAAUCUUUGUUGAGGAGUAUGGCACCCACUACUAAGAGGAUCGUGUUUACAACUACUAGACCGAGUGAUAUCAAGACGCCGUAUGAGAAAAUGCUAGAGAAUCAAGUGGAAUUUGGAUCCCCUGAUAAGAGGUCCGGUGGAUUCUUGAACUCUGCUCUGAUAGCUUUGUUCUAUGUGGCUGUGCUUGCAGGGCUCCUUCACCGUUUCCCUGUUAGCUUUUCUCAGCAUACAGCUGGUCAAAUCAGGAACCGAAAGUCUGGAGGUUCUGGAGGUUCUAAAGUGUCUGAGCAAGGGGAAACAAUCACUUUUGCUGAUGUUGCUGGUGUCGAUGAGGCUAAAGAAGAGCUAGAAGAGAUUGUGGAAUUUCUCAGGAAUCCAGAGAGAUAUAUAAGACUUGGUGCUCGCCCUCCUCGAGGUGUUCUUCUGGUGGGUCUUCCUGGGACUGGUAAGACUCUUCUUGCAAAGGCUGUUGCUGGAGAAGCUGAAGUGCCCUUUAUUAGUUGUUCAGCAAGUGAAUUCGUAGAGUUAUAUGUUGGCAUGGGCGCCUCCCGUGUGAGAGAUCUCUUUGCUAGAGCAAAGAAGGAAGCACCAUCAAUAAUAUUUAUUGAUGAGAUAGAUGCUGUGGCAAAAAGUCGUGAUGGAAAAUUUCGCAUUGUUAGCAAUGAUGAACGGGAGCAAACUUUGAAUCAAUUGCUCACUGAAAUGGAUGGGUUUGAUAGCAACUCUGCAGUGAUUGUUCUUGGUGCAACAAAUAGAUCAGAUGUCUUAGAUCCUGCACUUCGCCGACCUGGAAGAUUUGAUCGUGUGGUUAUGGUGGAAACACCUGAUAGGAAUGGAAGAGAAGCCAUUUUAAAAGUGCAUGCUUCCAAGAAAGAGCUUCCUCUUAGUGAGGAUGUUGACCUUAGCGAGAUUGCAUCUAUGACCACUGGUUUUACUGGGGCCGAUCUUGCAAAUCUAGUAAAUGAAGCUGCUUUGUUGGCUGGAAGGAAAAACAAAUUAGUAGUAGAGAAAAUUGAUUUCAUUCAGGCUGUGGAGCGGUCAAUAGCUGGCAUAGAAAAAAAGACUGCCAAGUUGCAAGGAAGUGAAAAGGGUGUCGUUGCACGUCAUGAAGCUGGCCAUGCAGUAGUAGGUACUGCUGUAGCUAAUCUCCUUCCUGGACAACCACGUGUUGAGAAGUUAAGCAUAUUGCCAAGAUCAGGAGGGGCAUUGGGCUUUACUUAUACACCUCCAACAAAUGAGGAUAGAUAUUUGCUAUUUAUUGAUGAGUUACGUGGUCGCUUGGUUACUCUUCUUGGAGGUCGUGCAGCAGAAGAAGUUGUCUAUUCAGGUCGUGUCUCCACAGGUGCACUGGAUGAUAUACGACGUGCUACUGACAUGGCAUACAAGGCAGUAGCAGAAUAUGGUCUUAAUCAGACUAUAGGACCUGUGUCUCUAGCAACACUUUCUGGAGGUGGGAUGGAUGAGUCUGGAGUUGCUCCAUGGGGAAGGGAUCAGGGCCAUCUUGUUGAUCUUGUUCAAAUAGAAGUGAAAACACUGUUGCAAUCUGCCCUAGAUGUAGCACUUGCUGUCGUUCGUGCUAAUCCUACUGUAUUAGAAGGGCUUGGCGCUCAUCUUGAAGCGAAAGAGAAAGUAGAAGGUGAGGAGCUGCAACAGUGGCUAAAAUUGGUGGUUGCUCCAAAAGAGCUUUCGAUCUUUGUUAGAGGCGAGCAAGAGUCUCUUCUUCUGCAGCAGGCUGGCUUGUAAUAACUAUGUUUGUGGAUUCAGCUCCAGUAUUGAACAAAACACAAAGUUAGCUUAUAGCUUUUUAUACCAACACAACCUUGAGGUAAAUUUUUGUUCAGUUUGAUUUUUAACAACCUAAAAAUAUACGUAAGUGGGGGAAAUCUGUAGAUUUGCUUCUUGCAGAGCCUUUUCAAGCCUCUUGCCAUUUUAGUGGCACCCUUGAUUCCGCAGGAACAUCACAAUUUAUAUCGACAUGCUGUAUAUUCUUUCGUGAAAACAAUUGGUGGUGGGGGUGGGGGCAACCGAGGCAAGCAUGCGCAAGGAACGAUUGGCAAUGGAGAUCCCUCGGUAUCUCUACAGCAGAUGAUUGAUUACUUGUUGAUGACCAAAUAUGUAAGGUAAUGAGGUGUGGGUAUGAAAGAAAAUAUCAUGAAGAAUGAAGAGAGCUUGAUGACUUGACUUUGAUAUUCUUGUUAUGACACUAAAAUAUCAACGUUGCUUUCUGAAAAUGAUAAUACCUUGAGUGUGUAUGGCUAUGGCAAAAGUAUAAAAGCACUUGAAUGUAAAAUCCUUACAAGGACCACUUUCGAAGCGGCA
This is an RNA transcript of Manihot esculenta (cassava), 3473 nucleotides long. It is a transcript of the gene named ATP-dependent zinc metalloprotease FTSH 9, chloroplastic, with no coding region annotated. NCBI's taxonomy places the organism in Eukaryota, Viridiplantae, Streptophyta, Magnoliopsida, Malpighiales, Euphorbiaceae. The record is from RefSeq and is a predicted model, not a curated record. The transcript is spliced from 14 exons.